AAAGAGAAGCUAAAUAUUAGUUUCAGGCUGAUUUGUGGUUUCAUCUGUCAGCUGCUUGCAGUUGUUAUGGCAAGAACGAUGCCGAGCGUUUCAAGAAGAAUUUCUUUAAUCCAAUUUCCCCCGGCCUCAACCAGAACCAUAUGUGUUUUCACUGCAGUGCGCUCUGAGAUCACAGCGCCCUGAUGGCUUUUAACAGCCCAUCAGGAAGACUGACAUGAAACUAAGACUUCUCUGCAGAUCCGUUCAGGGAGACACCUCAGCGCCUGCUUCUUGCUUUGGCGUCAUUUACUGCUGUGAUUAACGCGUCACGCUCCCAGACAGAGGUCGGGUCACCGAGAGGUUUCCUCUGGUGUGAGAGCUUUCAUUUGACCCAGGUGACAAGUAGCCUUAGUGCUGUCAUUAUCUGACAGAUGAGAGAGACAUGUGCGCAAUGUGGCCUUCACCAAAAUGGGAAAGAUUUAAGUCUGAGUGAUGUUUUUUUUUUUUUUUUUUCCUUCACGUCUGCUCUGAUCUGCCAAGUAAAAGAGACACUUCAGAAAGGUCUGCAGAAACCACUUGGAUCAGAGAUCACAAAACGGCCCGAGUUCACUGCCCUUUGGGAAUGAUCAGAGUCAGGAUUUACCAGAGUAUUCCAGCAACGACUUGUGGUUGUGUUUUAUAUAUUAAAGCAAAUUAGCCUUUCCUCUUGUGGAAAAGUUUUUACUUUUACUCGUCCGCAUUUUUCGUUGCUAUAUUAAAAAUAUAAUAUAAAAGUUUCAGCUCAACCAAAACACUAUUUAUAUUUACCUCAUAUACUCACAUUUUUGCUCCAGAUCCUCUGGAAGAGCCCGUUCUGCACUCUUAAGUGCAAUUUGCCCGUCAGCUGCCUCUGCUAUUUGUAUUAAAAUGUUCAGUGGUGAGGAUGUGGGUUUGUAUUUCAACGCUUGCUCACUCGAGAAUCUCACCAAUAUUGUUUUGAUAGUAAACAAACAUUUGUCUUCUGUCUUGAAAAGAUCAUUAUGUUGUCAGUGGAAAAGAUGCAGGUCGAAAUCCUGAUCUAAUCUAUUUAACUACAAAAUCCCCCCAUUUUUUGUGCCCACCAAACAAGCUCACUGUAAUGUUUCGUGAGAGCCACCAGAUGGCAGGAUUUCACAGGAUAAGUGCAAAGCCAGACAAGACCUGAACGGUCCA
Long non-coding RNA from Astatotilapia calliptera (eastern happy), 1170 nucleotides. The record is from Ensembl. Lineage: Eukaryota; Metazoa; Chordata; Actinopteri; Cichliformes; Cichlidae.